RNAcentral lists this long non-coding RNA (568 nucleotides) under Androctonus crassicauda. The record is from RNAcentral. Lineage: Eukaryota; Metazoa; Arthropoda; Arachnida; Scorpiones; Buthidae.
UUAAAGACCGUAUACGUAUCUGUUUUUUCGUCUUAGACCAAUUGUAGGAAUUUGUUCGAACAUCUAGUGUUAGAGUCGGUCGUGUUUUAAAUAUCUUCCACCCGUUAUUAUAAUUUUCUCACCACCGCUUAACGUAUUCAAAAAUUAAAGUUAUGAAAAUAGAUACCGUCAAUCGUUGUCUUAAAUUAAUAUAGCUUCUGGUUUAAUCGGCCGAUCCAAACCUGGAAAGGCAUUAUUAGUGCUGGGAAUAGCGUUACCAACGCCUGGGAACCGGUUACCGUUGUUUCGAAACCAUUCUCUGAUAAAAUAUGGAGUACGAAUGGUCGUGGCUCGAUAUUUUACCAGAGAAUGGAUUGGGCACGGCGUGGUGCGCGACACGUAUAGACUAGGUCAAAUAUUAAAUGCGAGUGAAAAAUUUUAUAGGGAAAUAGAGAGUAUUAAAUCUAAGUGGCAAAUAUUAAAGUUGGAGUGGACAUUUUUCUUUUAUUUCAAAGCGCGGGAAUUAAUAUUUAUUUUUGUUUCGUCUUAUUUUCUUUUUAUUGCCAUUGUAAUAUUUUUACAGCGUCAC